This 1447-nucleotide ribosomal RNA is filed under the name Candidatus Pacearchaeota archaeon CG06_land_8_20_14_3_00_35_12. RNAcentral describes it as "bacterial SSU rRNA". It matches the Rfam family "Archaeal small subunit ribosomal RNA". The record is from RNAcentral. Lineage: Archaea; Nanobdellati.
UCCAGUUUAUCCUGCUGGAGGCUGCUGCUCUUUGGAUUCGACUAAGCCAUGCAAGUUUUUGUUCCGCAAGGGGCAAAGCGAACUGCUCAGUAACACGUAGCUAAUCUACCUUAAGGUCCUGGAUAAUCUCGGGAAACUGAGAAUAAGCCAGGGUACACGACGAUCACUGGAAAGUAUUGUUGUUGAAACUCACGGCCUUAAGAUGAGGCUGCGGCUGAUUAGGUAGUUGUUGGGGUAACUGCCCAACAAGCCAAUGAUCAGUAAGGGCUCUUAACGGAGAAGCCCUGAGAGGGACUCUGAGACACUAGUCCCAGCUCUACGGAGUGCAGCAGGUGCGAAAAUUUUCCAAUGCCCGCAAGGGUGAGAAAGGAAUCCAAAGUGCUCUCACAAAUGUGUGAGCUUUUCUUUGCUGUAAAAAAGCAGAGGAAUAAGGACUGGGCAAGACUGGUGCCAGCCGCCGCGGUAAUCCCAGCGGUCCAAGUGGCAGCCACAUUUAUUAGGUCUAAAACAUUCGUAGCAUGUCCCGCAAGUUCUUUGUGAAAUCUUCUGGCUUAACCAGAAGGCGCGCAUUGAAAACUGCGAGACUUGGGACUGGGAGACGCAAGAAGUACAGUUGGGGUAGCGGUAAAAUGUUUUAAUCCCAGCUGGACUAACAAUAGCGAAGGCAUCUUGCGAGAACAGCUCUGACUGUGAGGAAUGAAGGCUAGGGGCGCAAAAUGGAUUAGAUACCCAUGUAGUCCUAGCUGUAAACACUGCACACUAAACAUUGCUCUCUCCUCGAGAGGGGGCAGUGCUGUAGCGAAGGCGAAGAGUGUGCUACCUGGGGAGUAUAGUCGCAAGACCGAAACUUAAAGGAAUUGGCGGGGGAGCGCUACAAGGGGUGACGCGUACGGUUCAAUUAGAUUCUACACCGUGAACCUUACCAGGACCGACAGCAGAAUGAAGGUCAGUCUAAAGGGCUUACCUGACACGCUGAGAGGAGGUGCAUGGCCGUCGUCAGCUUGUGUUGUGAAAUGCCCUGUUAACUCAGGUAACAAGCGAGACCCGUGUGUAUAAUUGCUACUGCAAAGAGCACAUUAUACAGACUGCCUUGGUAACAAGGAGGAAGGUGCGGGCAACGAUAGGUGAGUACGCCCCAAAUGCCCUGGGCUACACGCGCGCGUCAAUGCUACAUACAAUGUGAUGCAACUCCGAAAGGAGAAGCAAAUCACACAAAGUGUAGCUUAGUUCAGAUUGAACGUUGAAACCUACGUUCAUGAUGCUGGAAUCCCUAGUAAUCGGGUGUUAUCAGCGCCCGGUGAAUAAGUCCCCGCUCCUUGCACACACCGCCCAUCAAACCAUCUGAGUUAUUUUUAGAUGAAGUCAGAAAUGAAAGAAUCUAAAGAUGACAAAGAAGGUUAAGUUGUCACAAGGUAUCCGUAGGGGAACCUGCGGAUGGAUCACCUCC